RNAcentral lists this transfer RNA (73 nucleotides) under Phycisphaerae bacterium. Its description in RNAcentral is "tRNA-Thr". It matches the Rfam family "tRNA". Rfam says of the family: Transfer RNA (tRNA) molecules are approximately 80 nucleotides in length. Their secondary structure includes four short double-helical elements and three loops (D, anti-codon, and T loops). The record is from RNAcentral. Lineage: Bacteria; Pseudomonadati; Planctomycetota; Phycisphaerae.
GCCACCGUAGCUCAAUCGGCAGAGCAGCGGUUUUGUAAACCGCAGGUUUCGGGUUCAAGUCCCGACGGUGGCU